AAUCAGCCCAAGAGGCCGAGUUAACAGCCCUUACGGUGGCCUGUAAACUAUCUAAAGGUACACAAGUCAAUAUUUAUACAGAUUCGAGAUAUGCCCUGGGGGUGGCACAUGAUUUUGGUCUAAUUUGGAAAACCAGGGGGUUCCUCACGGCCACCGGUACCCCUGUGAAACAUGGGGCAGCUAUUGAAGAAUUGAUGGAUGCCCUGUUGCUACCUGAAGAGGUGGCCGUACUGAAGGUAAAGGCCCACGGAAGGUUGAACUCGCAAGAAGCCCAGGGCAAUCACCUGGCUGAUCAGGACGCUGAGGAAGCGGCACGGCAAGCAUGGAAAGUGGACAGAAGAGUGGCCACCGAGACCACUCCUAUCUAUACUAUGCAAACCCUGCCCACAGACCUCAAACUCCUGAAAGAACAGCAAGAGGCCGAGUUAACCCCU
Non-coding RNA from Pelobates cultripes (western spadefoot toad), 434 nucleotides. Lineage: Eukaryota; Metazoa; Chordata; Amphibia; Anura; Pelobatidae. The record is from the annotation of a GenBank genome assembly.